RNAcentral lists this ribosomal RNA (229 nucleotides) under uncultured bacterium. Its description in RNAcentral is "partial 16S ribosomal RNA". It matches the Rfam family "Bacterial small subunit ribosomal RNA", at positions 568 to 796 of the family's 1533-position model. The record is from RNAcentral.
CGUGUAGGCGGUUGUUUAAGUCUGAUGUGAAAGCCCCGGGCUCAACCCGGGAAGUGCAUUGGAAACUGGGCAACUUGAGUACGGGAGAGGGAAGUGGAAUUUCGAGUGUAGGGGUGAAAUCCGUAGAUAUUCGAAGGAACACCGGUGGCGAAGGCGGCUUCCUGGACCGAUACUGACGCUGAGACGCGAAAGCGUGGGGAGCAAACAGGAUUAGAUACCCUGGUAGUCC